Non-coding RNA from Camellia sinensis, 2900 nucleotides. The record is from RefSeq and is a predicted model, not a curated record. NCBI's taxonomy places the organism in Eukaryota, Viridiplantae, Streptophyta, Magnoliopsida, Ericales, Theaceae.
UUUCUCACUUUCUCUCUCUUCGUGCUCUAAGCAUUCUUCCACAUAUCUCGAUCAUCGAACCCCCCAACUCGAUCGAUAAACUCCCAAUUACUUCUCCAAGUUCGUCGAUUAACCAACUACAACAUCGAUUCCAGCUCAGAUCUAGUUCCAAACAGUGCUCAAAAUUGUCUUCUCCGAUGUAAUCACCUUCCAGUUGUUGUAGAUCUGGCCUGCAACAGUAGUGAUGUUGAUCCGCAGUGUUGCGAAUUGGAGUGGAAUUGAACUUUGGAGAAAGUAGGGAGAGAGAGAGAGAGAGAGAGAGAGAGUAGAGAUUGAAGUUGUUUUGUGGCAUUUGAGAGUGGAAUUGGAAUUUUAGGGUUUUGUUGGUUGCUAGUUAUGGCUGCUCUGCAGAAGCUGCUUCAGUCGAGCACGACUGCGAGCAACUGCGGGUCGCCGUCAUGCAAAGCUGAGGCGGCUGUUCCCGAUCAGUUUCCAGCAGGUUUGAGAGUUCUUGUUGUGGAUGAUGACACUACUUGUCUGAGGAUUUUGGAGCAAAUGCUUCGAAGAUGCAUGUACCUUGUUACAACUUGCUCACAGGCCACCGUUGCUUUGAACUUGUUACGUGAGAGAAAAGGUUGUUUUGAUGUGGUACUGAGUGAUGUGCAUAUGCCUGAUAUGGAUGGCUUUAAACUUCUUGAACUUGUUGGGUUGGAGAUGGACCUGCCUGUCAUUAUGAUGUCAGCUGAUGGAACAACCAGUGCAGUUAUGAGGGGAAUCAGACAUGGGGCUUGUGAUUAUCUAAUUAAGCCUAUACGUGAAGAAGAGUUGAAGAAUAUAUGGCAGCAUGUUGUAAGGAAAAAGUGGAGUGAAAAUAAAGAACAUGAGCACUCAGGUAGCUUGGAUGAUAAUGAUCGGCAUAAACGAGGAAGUGAUGAUGCUGAAUAUGCUUCUUCUGUGAAUGAAGAAACAGAAGGAUUAUUAAAAACACAGAAAAAGAGAAGAGAAGCCAAAGACGAAGAUGAUGGUGAAUUGGAAAUUGAUGAUUCAGCUACAGCAAAGAAGCCUCGUGUUGUGUGGUCAGUGGAGCUCCAUCAGCAAUUUGUUGGUGCAGUGAACCAACUUGGGAUUGAUAAGGCCGUUCCAAAGAGAAUUCUUGAAUUGAUGAAUGUUCCUGGUUUAACUAGAGAAAAUGUUGCAAGCCAUUUGCAGAAAUUCAGAUUAUAUUUGAAGAGGUUAAGUGGAGUAGCUCAACAAGGUGGGAUUCCUAAUCCGUUUUGUGGGCCAAUAGAACAGAAUGCAAAACUGGGUUCAUUAGGAAGAUUUGAUAUUCAAGCUUUGGCUGCUUCUGGCCAAAUUCCUCCACAAACACUGGCAGCUUUGCAUGCUGAGCUUUUAGGUCAACCAACUGGUAACAUUGUGUUUCCUGGAAUGGACCAGCCACUACUACAAGCAUCCCUACAGGGACCCUAAUGUAAAGAUCCUGUUGAUCAUAGUGUGGCAUAUGGUCAGCCUUUGAUGAGAUGCCCAUCCAACAUUUCCAAACAGUUUCCACAAACCAUCAUAAAUGCUGAGGAUGUUCAUUCAGGACUAGGAGCAUGGCCAUCUAAUGGACUUGGUACUGUAGGUCCCAACAGCAAUCUUGGUGGCAUGGGUGCUCAAAGUGGUAAUAUUUUAAUGGGUAUGUUCCACCAACAGCAACAGCAACAGCAACAGCAACCACGCCAGCAGCAGCAGCAGCAACAACAGCAACAGCAACAGCAACAGAAACUGUCUAUACUACCAGAACCCAGCCGAUCAAUUAAUGUGCAGCCUUCUUGCCUGGUGGUCCCUUCUAAGUCAUCAACCAUUUUUGAAGUGGGAAAGAAUCAUGAUUCGGUUAAUCAGAACUGCAGCUUUACUAGAAGUUCUGUUAUCGAUUACAGCCUUCUCUCACCUCAUUCAAAUAAUCCCUUGUUUGGUGCUGGGCAACUAUCGGAUGGGGAUCUGAAAACAACAGGCGUGCGUAAUGGGUACUCGGGUCCUGGUUCCAUAUCUCCAUCUGUGUCAUCUUGCUCCAUAAAUGCUGAUAACGGUGCUAAUAGGCAACUUCAGAACUCGACCAUGGCAUCUAGUUCUGGCAGACAGUUGCCAGGGCUUGCUCCAAAUAUGUGUGAUAUCCAAGCUUCUUAUUGCACCAAGUCAGAUCAAGUGCUUGAUCAGGGACCACUAAGAAAUCUUGGAUUUGUUGGUAAAGGAACUUCCAUUCCAAGCCGGUUUGCGGUGGAUGAACCUGAAUCACUAAUGAGCAACUUGAAUUAUGGAAAGAUGUAUGGGGAGAACAAUGGAAGCAAAGUGAAGCAGGAGACAAGUAUGGAUUUUAUGGAGAAUGGAAAAGUGAGCAUCCCAAUACUACAAAAUUUUUCACCAAACGAGCUCAUGAGUGUUUUCUCUGAAUAGGCUUGCAUGACGCCAAAAGUUAUAUUCCAGGAAGUCUCCCUGAUUUCCAUGGAGGACAAGAAGAAUCGUAUCACCAAAAGUUAGGAAGAGAUUCCAGUUAAAAAUGUUAUAUUUAUUUUACGUAGACCUGAAGUGCUUCAGUGCUUCUACCACUCUCAAACGAAGAAUUGAGGUAUAAAAAAAAAUUACAAGAAUGCUGUUGUGAAGAUAGUUGUCUGAAAAUUGCUUGGACAGCUUAUUUUUUUUUAUACUUCCAUGCAAGUAUUAUUAUUACCUUUUAACUAGUGUUUAGGGAAUAAGUCGGCAAAAACUCCAGCCGGUUGAGCUGUUCUCUCCACCAUGAAGGCAUCUCGCUGACAUAAUUGUGUAGUUUGAGGCUUCUGAUGCUAGAAUGCUCAUUUAUUUAUUACCCAUUGAAUCUUGAAUUUGGAAAAUUAUAUAUAGUUAUUGUAAGCUUGUAAAUUAUUUUAGUUUAGUUGUCAUUA